GGGCUCGUAGGUGGUUGAUCGCGUCGGAAGUGUAAUCUUGGGGCUUAACCCCGAGCGUGCUUUCGAUACGGGUUGACUUGAGGAAGGUAGGGGAGAAUGGAAUUCCUGGUGGAGCGGUGGAAUGCGCAGAUAUCAGGAGGAACACCAGUGGCGAAGGCGGUUCUCUGGGCCUUUCCUGACGCUGAGGAGCGAAAGCGUGGGGAGCGAACAGGCUUAGAUACCCUGGUAGUCCACGCUGUAAACGGUGGGUACUAGGUGUGGGGUCCAUUCCACGGGUUCCGUGCCGUAGCUAACGCUUUAAGUACCCCGCCUGGGGAGUACGGCCGCAAGGCUAAAACUCAAAGGAAUUGACGGGGCCCCGCACAAGCGGCGGAGCAUGCGGAUUAAUUCGAUGCAACGCGUAGAACCUUACCUGGGUUUGACAUGGAUCGGGAGUGCUCAGAGAUGGGUGUGCCUCUUUUGGGGUCGGUUCACAGGUGGUGCAUGGCUGUCGUCAGCUCGUGUCGUGAGAUGUUGGGUUAAGUCCCGCAACGAGCGCAACCCUUGUUCACUGUUGCCAGCACGUUAUGGUGGGGACUCAGUGGAGACCGCCGGGGUCAACUCGGAGGAAGGUGGGGAUGACGUCAAGUCAUCAUGCCCCUUAUGUCCAGGGCUUCGCGCAUGCUACAAUGGCUGGUACAGAGAGUGGCGAGCCUGUGAGGGUGAGCGAAUCUCGGAAAGCCGGUCUCAGUUCGGAUUGGGGUCUGCAACUCGACCUCAUGAAGUCGGAGUCGCU
This 775-nucleotide ribosomal RNA is filed under the name uncultured Actinomycetes bacterium. Its description in RNAcentral is "bacterial SSU rRNA". It matches the Rfam family "Bacterial small subunit ribosomal RNA", at positions 565 to 1336 of the family's 1533-position model. The record is from RNAcentral. Lineage: Bacteria; Bacillati; Actinomycetota; Actinomycetes.